RNAcentral lists this ribosomal RNA (203 nucleotides) under Synechococcus sp. RS9901. RNAcentral describes it as "partial 23S ribosomal RNA". It matches the Rfam family "Bacterial large subunit ribosomal RNA", at positions 1 to 218 of the family's 2925-position model. The record is from RNAcentral. Lineage: Bacteria; Bacillati; Cyanobacteriota; Cyanophyceae; Synechococcales; Synechococcaceae. RNAcentral also lists the same sequence under 1 other name.
GGUCAAGCUACAAAGGGCUCACGGUGGAUACCUUGGCACACAGAGGCGAUGAAGGACGUGGUUACCUGCGAUAAGUCUCGGGGAGCUGGAAACACGCUUUGAUCCGGGAAUUUCCGAAUGGGGCAACCCCUAGAACGGCCAGCUGAAUCCAUAGGCUGGCGCGAGCCAACCCAGCGAACUGAAACAUCUUAGAGCGAGAAGAA